CAUGGCAUGGUAGUAACACAACAACAUGUUAGCAGCACAAAACAUGGUACAAACAUUAUUGGGUACAGACUACAGCACAAGGGGCUGAAGGUAGAGGCAACAAUACAUCGCGCAAAUCAAACACAACUUUCAGCUGAGAAUCCGUCUCUGAAAGCAGAGGUCAGGGAGGGCCUCACUCUGGUGGGUUAUAACAACCCUGUUAAAGGCCUGGGCAUCAGGGUUCGACGGAGGGCGAAUCAGGUGCCAUCCCGUGCUUCAUGCUGGGUGUGUUCCAGAUCGCUCUAAAUGAUUGUGAGGAGCUCUACAGGAGCUGGGUUCUGACGCCUUCAAGCAGAACGUCAUCGUUGGCACCAUCAAGAUGGGCUGGAGCCAUUUCUUCUGCGACUCGCAGACCUUGGAGCAAAUCCUCAAAGAGAAAAUGGGCUCUGAUGGUGGAAACAUCAAGAAACUCCAAAUGCCCAAAGUUAAGCUUUGUCACAUGGCAUGACUCAUUACACUCUCUGGAGUGUGGCGCUGAUGAUCACACACAUACUGUCCACCUUGCCAUCCAUGAGAGGGUGUGAGGAAGGAAGGCCCUCACGAUCUCUUAAAGGUCCUAGUAGUCAUGUUUAAUUCAAUAUCAAAUCAUUUCUGGGUAACAAUUGAGUACCUAACUGUGAUUUGUUUUCAAUUAUGGUCAAAAAUAAACAAAAAUAGAUAUUUAGUGAAGGGCAAUUUCUCAAGCAAGAAUUUUGCUAGGACUGCUUGGGAGUGGUCUGAGCAGAGAGGGGGAAACUGAAAAUGUGCUUUUAUUGGCAGAGCGAUUUGGAACUCCCUUUCUUAGUGUUUUUACACGUAGUCCCUUUCAGCAAAAUGUUUGUGAACUCAGUGCAGUUUGUAGAAUUUGUUUGUGCAGUGUGAACACUCCAAAGGAACUCAAACCCCUCAAAAGAGCCCCCGAAACUAACGGAACUUAGAGCCAUCUCGAGAGGGGGUCUGAGUUUGGGUUCCCUUUAAUAGGACAAUGUGGACAUAAAGCUCACCAGGUUCCCUUGUCAUUAUUCCCGCUCCACACCAAGAUUACUGCAAACAUUGUUUCCCCUGGCAUAAGCCCUCACAUUGGUGCCAAAAGAGAGAGAAGAUGAUGAUGAUGAUGAUGUACAGGUUCAAGCAAAACACGUGUGCCGUUUUUUGAUGUUGAUUAACGAUUGUCAAGGAUGCUUAGAAAUUCCAGAAUAUGUGUAUUUUAGUAUAUUUUAGUUCAAAUGAUUUGUUUUCAAUAUGUGAUCUGUAGGCUAAGAGAGCUUCUCAAGCUGUUUAGUCGAUUGUGGGGUUUGAAUAGUGUGAAAAGACAACAUAUUUGGUGAGAAUCACACCAAAAUCUAUUUUAGCUCUUAAAGGGGCAGUAGCCUACAUUGAGUGUACAAUUUUUUAAGUAUAACAUUAUGUAAUCUGCAGUUAUUCUUCUGCUAUUUAGUUACCAAUCAUUUUUGUCUUUGUCUUAUAUUUGAACUAAAUGCAAUCUAUUGCCUCCCAAAAUAUAAGUAGGUGUAUCUAGCUGUCUGAUAACGCAUUCUGAUGGAAUGGCUUGUCCAGCACAUUGUAAAAUCCCAGAGUGCAUUGAGUGAAAAAAUAAAUGUUUCUCCUUUCUAAACAUAUCAAUGUGAAUUCAAAGAGGACUCGGAUCACAGAAUAGUUAGUGAACUGACAAAAGAGUUGAGUCCUCAUUAAGGGAAGGGUGCAUUGAGAAUACAAAGGUACAGUAACUGAGUUAUUUAGCUAUUUUUUUUUCUA
Molecule: long non-coding RNA, 1773 nt
Organism: Oncorhynchus kisutch (coho salmon)
Lineage: Eukaryota; Metazoa; Chordata; Actinopteri; Salmoniformes; Salmonidae
Exons: 4
Source: RefSeq, a predicted model, not a curated record